Molecule: ribosomal RNA, 253 nt
Filed under: uncultured bacterium
Lineage: Bacteria
Description: partial 16S ribosomal RNA
Rfam family: Bacterial small subunit ribosomal RNA
Source: RNAcentral
UACGUAGGGGGCAAGCGUUGUCCGGAAUCAUUGGGCGUAAAGAGCGUGUAGGCGGCUCGGUAAGUCCGCUGUGAAAGUCCAGGGCUCAACCCUGGAAUGCCGGUGGAAACUGUCGAGCUCGAGUCCGGAAGAGGCGAGUGGAAUUCCUGGUGUAGCGGUGAAAUGCGCAGAUAUCAGGAGGAACACCAAUGGCGAAGGCAGCUCGCUGGGACGGUACUGACGCUGAGACGCGAAGGCGUGGGGAGCGAACGGG